GGUGGUUCUCGGGUGACGCAUCCAGGAAUCAGGCUCCCUCCUCUUUGGUUCCGGGUGUGUCACCCGAGAACCGCA
Myotis brandtii (Brandt's bat) is the source of this 75-nucleotide non-coding RNA. NCBI's taxonomy places the organism in Eukaryota, Metazoa, Chordata, Mammalia, Chiroptera, Vespertilionidae. The record is from Rfam.